Molecule: ribosomal RNA, 306 nt
Filed under: uncultured bacterium
Lineage: Bacteria
Description: bacterial SSU rRNA
Rfam family: Bacterial small subunit ribosomal RNA
Source: RNAcentral
GGCUCAGAACGAACGCUGGCGGCGUGCUUAACACAUGCAAGUCGAACGAACCUUCGGGUUAGUGGCGGACGGGUGAGUAACGCGUGAGAAUCUGCCCUCAGGAGGGGGAUAACGGUUGGAAACGACCGCUAAUACCCCAUAUGCCGAGAGGUGAAAAGAAAUUCGCCUGAGGAUGAGCUCGCGUCUGAUUAGCUAGUUGGUGUGGUAAUGGCGCACCAAGGCUUCGAUCAGUAGCUGGUCUGAGAGGAUGAUCAGCCACACUGGGACUGAGACACGGACCCAGACUCCUACGGGAGGCAGCAGUGG